GAUGAACGCUGGCGGCGUGCCUAAUACAUGCAAGUCGAGCGAACGGACGAGAAGCUUGCUUCUUUGAUGUUAGCGGCGGACGGGUGAGUAACACGUGGAUAACCUACCUAUAUGACUGGGAUAACUUCGGGAAACCGGAGCUAAUACUGGCUAAUAUUUUGAACCGCAUGGUUCAAAAGUGAAAGACGGUCUUGCUGUCACUUAUAGAUGGAUCCGCGUUGGAUUAGUUAGUUGGUAAGGUAACGGCUUACCAAGGCAACGAUGCAUAGCUGACCUGAGAGGGUGAUCAGCCACACUGGAACUGAGACACGGUCCAGACUCCUACGGGAGGCAGCAGUAGGGAAUCUUCCACAAUGGGCGAAAGCCUGACGGAGCAACGCCGCGUGAGUGAAGAAGGUCUUCGGAUCGUAAAACUCUGUUAUUAGGGAAGAACAUAUGUGUAAGUAACUGUGCACAUCUUGACGGUACCUAAACAGAAAGCCACGGCUAACUACGUG
RNAcentral lists this ribosomal RNA (497 nucleotides) under uncultured bacterium. RNAcentral describes it as "partial 16S ribosomal RNA". It matches the Rfam family "Bacterial small subunit ribosomal RNA", at positions 28 to 507 of the family's 1533-position model. The record is from RNAcentral.